RNAcentral lists this ribosomal RNA (475 nucleotides) under uncultured bacterium. RNAcentral's name for it is "bacterial SSU rRNA". It matches the Rfam family "Bacterial small subunit ribosomal RNA", at positions 15 to 518 of the family's 1533-position model. The record is from RNAcentral.
GAUCAUGGCUCAGAACGAACGCUGGCGGCAUGGAUUAGGCAUGCAAGUCGAACGAAGCAGCAAUGCUUAGUGGCGGAAGGGUGAGGAACGCGUGAGUAAUCUGCCCUCAAGUUGGGAAUAACAGCUGGAAACGGCUGCUAAUACCGAAUGUGGCUGCAAGACCGCAUGAUUUUGCAGUUAAAGAUUUAUUGCUUGAGGAUGAGCUCGCGUCCCAUUAGCUAGUUGGUGAGGCAACGGCUCACCAAGGCGAUGAUGGGUAGCUGGUCUGAGAGGAUGGUCAGCCACACUGGGACUGAGACACUGCCCAGACUCCUACGGGAGGCUGCAGUCGAGAAUCUUGGGCAAUGCGCGAAAGCGUGACCCAGCAAUGCCGCGUGCGCGAUGAAGGUCUUCGGAUUGUAAAGCGCUGUCAACCGGGACGAAAAAUGACGGUACCGGUGGAGGAAGCCACGGCUAACUACGUGCCAGCCGCCGC